CCUACGGGGGGCUGCAGUGGGGAAUUUUGGACAAUGGGGGCAACCCUGAUCCAGCCAUGCCGCGUGAGUGAAGAAGGCCUUCGGGUUGUAAAGCUCUUUCGGCCGGGAAGAAAUCGCUCAAGCUAAUACCUUGGGUGGAUGACGGUACCGGAAGAAGAAGCACCGGCUAACUACGUGCCAGCAGCCGCGGUAAUACGUAGGGUGCGAGCGUUAAUCGGAAUUACUGGGCGCGAAGCGUUAAGACACAGGGGAAAUCCCCGGGCUUAACCGGGGAACUGCGGUUGUGACUGUGGUGCUAGGGUGCGGCAGAGGGGGGUGGAAUUCCACGUGUAGCAGUGAAAUGCGUAGAGAUGUGGAGGAACACCGAUGGCGAAGGCAGCCCCCUGGGUCGACACUGACGCUCAUGCACGAAAGCGUGGGGAGCAAACAGGAUUAGAUACCCUUGUAGUC
This 450-nucleotide ribosomal RNA is filed under the name uncultured bacterium. Its description in RNAcentral is "partial 16S ribosomal RNA". It matches the Rfam family "Bacterial small subunit ribosomal RNA", at positions 338 to 795 of the family's 1533-position model. The record is from RNAcentral.